This 415-nucleotide ribosomal RNA is filed under the name Geotrichum pseudocandidum. Its description in RNAcentral is "eukaryotic LSU rRNA". It matches the Rfam family "Eukaryotic large subunit ribosomal RNA", at positions 92 to 530 of the family's 3401-position model. The record is from RNAcentral. Lineage: Eukaryota; Fungi; Ascomycota; Dipodascomycetes; Dipodascales; Dipodascaceae.
AGUGAGCGGCAAAAGCUCAAAUUUGAAAUCGGCCUCCAGGUCGAGUUGUAAUUUGUAGAUUGUACUUUGAGAGCGGAUUAAAGUCUGUUGGAACACAGCGCCUUAGAGGGUGACAGCCCCGUAAAAUCUAUUCUCAUUGUAAGGUACUUUCGAAGAGUCGAGUUGUUUGGGAAUGCAGCUCUAAGUGGGAGGUAAAUUCCUUCUAAAGCUAAAUAUUGACGAGAGACCGAUAGCGAACAAGUACUGUGAAGGAAAGAUGAAAAGCACUUUGAAAAGAGAGUGAAAAAGUACGUGAAAUUGUUAAAAGGGAAGGGUAUUGAAUCAGACGUGGUGCUGUUGUUCAACUUUGUUUCGGCAUGGUGUACUCAGCAGUUACUAAGCCAAGGUGGGGUGUUUGGGAGUGAAAAAGGAAUAG